This is a long non-coding RNA of Phragmites australis (common reed), 1311 nucleotides long. RefSeq lists it as uncharacterized. The transcript has 3 exons. The record is from RefSeq and is a predicted model, not a curated record. NCBI's taxonomy places the organism in Eukaryota, Viridiplantae, Streptophyta, Magnoliopsida, Poales, Poaceae.
ACCCGAGCGGUCUCCAUAUUUUUGCGCGAUUCUCAUCCCCCGCCGGCGGCGAUCCGAAUCCACUAGAUCGAGACCCCCGCUGUUCCCCGCGGCACGCCACCUUGAACUCGUGCUCCGCCCCCUCCCUCGCCAGGCCGUCACGAGGCUCCCCUGAGCCGUGCCCGACUCCUUCCUAGCCACUCGGUCGUGCGGCGCUCACGAGACGACUCCGGCCCCUACCUCUGGCCACCGAAGUCUCCACAGGGCAAGCCUCGCUCACGGGAUCUUCCGAGGUCAGGGAUUAGUAUCCGUCUGCUGAUGGGUCGCCAACAACCUCCAGCCGCACGGUGUCCUCCUCGUCGGAUCCUCCGCUGGCUUCCUGAGCUCCUGUUAAGAUUUAUUUAUGUCAACCCUGUGCACUGCAAUUGCGGCUGAAUUACUGGACGGAGAUCAAUGAAAUGGUUUAGUUUGCAUAGAAGGAUUGAGAUGACAUUAUUCUGCAUGCAAGCUUUCUUCAACCGUUGAUGCAGCUGUUGAAUCGUGUUUAGGCAUGUAUCUGACUGUAACUUCCUGAUGCAGGGACACCAGUUGCAGAAUCAACAGUUGAUAAAGUUGGCAAGGUGAUUGGUUAUGUUAGUAUCGGGUACCCGUUUUGUCUAAUAGCCUGAAUCCUAUUUGGGAGGCAUCCUGAUGCUAUACUCUAAGUCUGAGAAACCAAAGCUAUUCAUCAUGGGAACUGAAGACGGCUGAAAUAGUUGCAAAACAAGGUCAAGUGCGGCUGGAUGGAUGGGUUGAUACACACUUGAUUGAAGGAGCUGGCCACUUCCAAAUGUAGGGCCCUCCUUAUGAUGCCCAGAUGACCACUGUCCAAGACCGUGAGUUUAAUGUGCUGAAGCUCAUCCCUGCAUGGUCAAAGUUUGUUGCAAGGAAGAAGAUUACUGCUGCCUGAGGAAGACUUCAAGGAUUCCAAAAGCUUGAUAUGGAGUUUUUAUUUUGCCCCUUUUUAUACCCAAAAGCUUGAUAUAUGAAUCUUUCUGUGUUGGUGUCAACCGCGCCUUCUCAGAACAUGAGUUUUCUUUUUUCCAAAGUGAGGCCAUGAGUCAGCUAUACCUUAUCUUUGUAGAUUUAGGAUAAAAUUCAAAUUUGAAGAGGCAAACAAAGAAAACCAGUAAAAUUCAAAUAACUUCAUCCAACUGUGAGCAUGAACCAGUUGGAAUGUUGUGAAUGAUUUGAUUUCAGAAUCCCAUAAUAAAUCACUAGUUUUAAAAUUUAACUGAUACUUGAAAAAAUGUUCUUCUGACUUUAUGGAUUUAAAACCCAAUACCUGUUAGA